UUGAAAGGGAACGAUUGAAGUCAGUCGUACCGACGAGAAAUCAGCUCUUCGAGUGCGAACUUGUGGGCGUGCGCGAGUCUUUACGGGCCUCGCUGUUUGCAUUUUGUGCUUUUUGGGUGUACUUUUUCGUAUGGUAGGCCAACGUCAGUUUCGAUCACCGUAAAUGAUCGGAGGAAUGUAGCUUCGAUCUCGUAUUGAAGUGUUAUAGCCUCUGGUAGAUGCGGUGACCGAAACUGAGGAUUGCAACGAAUACCCUUCUGGGCUAUCCGUCUGGCCUCUGAAAGUUGCUUAGGUGCCGAAAGCGUGCUUACGGCUAUUUAAGUUGACGGUCAACAGGUUAGAACGUGAUUACAUUCGUUAAGGAUGUUGACGUA
RNAcentral lists this ribosomal RNA (374 nucleotides) under uncultured Glomeromycotina. RNAcentral describes it as "eukaryotic LSU rRNA". The record is from RNAcentral. Lineage: Eukaryota; Fungi; Glomeromycota.